RNAcentral lists this transfer RNA (72 nucleotides) under Spirochaetota bacterium. RNAcentral describes it as "Spirochaetes bacterium tRNA-OTHER". It matches the Rfam family "tRNA". Rfam says of the family: Transfer RNA (tRNA) molecules are approximately 80 nucleotides in length. Their secondary structure includes four short double-helical elements and three loops (D, anti-codon, and T loops). Further hydrogen bonds mediate the characteristic L-shaped molecular structure. tRNAs have two regions of fundamental functional importance: the anti-codon, which is responsible for specific mRNA codon recognition, and the 3' end, to which the tRNAs corresponding amino acid is attached (by aminoacyl-tRNA synthetases). tRNAs cope with the degeneracy of the genetic code in two manners: having more than one tRNA (with a specific anti-codon) for a particular amino acid; and 'wobble' base-pairing, i.e. permitting non-standard base-pairing at the 3rd anti-codon position. Lineage: Bacteria; Pseudomonadati; Spirochaetota. The record is from RNAcentral.
GCUCCUUUAGCUCAGUGGUAGAGUACGGUAUAUGUCCGUGGGACACAGGUUCAAUUCCUGUAAGGAGCUCAA